This 312-nucleotide ribosomal RNA is filed under the name Triticum aestivum (bread wheat). Its description in RNAcentral is "partial small subunit ribosomal RNA". The record is from RNAcentral. Lineage: Eukaryota; Viridiplantae; Streptophyta; Magnoliopsida; Poales; Poaceae.
AUGUCGCUGGGGAAUAUGUUCCGACCAGGUGAAAAUGGGCAAAUGGACCUUUAUGCCCCCAGUUCAAACUUUGAAUCUGUCCGUCAUCUUCCUCAGCGUCUUCCACCUCCGCCUCCGCCCCGGCACUCCACCUCCGCCUCCGCGGCUCUGCCACCCGCCCUCCACCUCCGCCCCGGCACUCCACCUCCGCCUCCGCGGCUCCGCCACCUGCCCUCCACCCCCGCGCUCCUCUCCCACGCCAGGGGCUCCUCCCGGCCCCCGCGCGCCCAGGUGGUGCUCUGCUGCCGCCCGCUGGUGGAGACGAGGUGCUGA